UUGCUUCAGCAGCACAUAUCCUGAAAUUAGAAAGAUACAGAGAAGAUUAAAUGCAUGGCACCUGGGUAAGGAUGACACACACAUCCAUGAAGCCUUUCAUAGUUUU
Small nuclear RNA from Trichosurus vulpecula (common brushtail), 106 nucleotides. Lineage: Eukaryota; Metazoa; Chordata; Mammalia; Diprotodontia; Phalangeridae. The record is from RefSeq and is a predicted model, not a curated record.